RNAcentral lists this ribosomal RNA (263 nucleotides) under uncultured bacterium. RNAcentral describes it as "partial 16S ribosomal RNA". It matches the Rfam family "Bacterial small subunit ribosomal RNA", at positions 793 to 1055 of the family's 1533-position model. The record is from RNAcentral.
GUCCUUGCCGUAAACGAUGUAUACUUGAUGUAGCUAGGCUCAACCAUGGCUGUGUCGAAGCUAACGCGAUAAGUAUACCGCCUGGGGAGUACGCUCGCAAGGGUGAAACUCAAAAGAAUUGACGGGGGCCCGCACAAGCAGUGGAGCAUGUGGUUUAAUUCGAUGCAACGCGAAGAACCUUACCCAGGUUUGAAAUUCAGAGGACGAUACCAGAGAUGGUAUUUCUCGCAAGGGUCUCUGAACAGGUGCUGCAUGGCUGUCGU